CCUAGCUCUGACCAUCGCAAUCGUUAAAUAGAUCAUGUGGUUCUAUCUCUGUUUUUUACUCCAAAAAUAGAUGGUCUUAAACAAGCACAAUACAAGGACGUUGACAAACAUUAUUUUGAUCAGCUAGUCCAGCUUAAGAUUAUUGACACAUCAAUUGAUUCUCUCUUGUUUCUGUUGUUGCUGCAACAUCAAACAAUGCAUAUGAUUACUCAAAUGGGCAUGCAUCGACAGUUAGCUCUGUUAUUGUUUCAAACUUGAAAACUGGUGUCAGAAAAGGAGCAUGGGACAAAGUAGAGUGUAAUACCGGCAUUCAAGGCUGCUGCUGAGAGUCUGCUAAUUACCUCUGAUCUGUCACCAGCAGAUUUAGUAAG
Ipomoea nil (Japanese morning glory) is the source of this 371-nucleotide long non-coding RNA. RefSeq lists it as uncharacterized. The record is from RefSeq and is a predicted model, not a curated record. The transcript has 5 exons. NCBI's taxonomy places the organism in Eukaryota, Viridiplantae, Streptophyta, Magnoliopsida, Solanales, Convolvulaceae.